Molecule: non-coding RNA, 46 nt
Organism: Orchesella cincta
Lineage: Eukaryota; Metazoa; Arthropoda; Collembola; Entomobryomorpha; Orchesellidae
Source: Rfam
CCAACAGCCCUUUUAAGGGCUACCCAAUUUUCCUAAGAGCAAACAA